RNAcentral lists this ribosomal RNA (653 nucleotides) under Mycoacia fuscoatra. RNAcentral's name for it is "eukaryotic LSU rRNA". The stretch from base 257 to 410 matches the Rfam family "5.8S ribosomal RNA". The record is from RNAcentral. Lineage: Eukaryota; Fungi; Basidiomycota; Agaricomycetes; Polyporales; Meruliaceae.
AGAGGAAGUAAAAGUCGUAACAAGGUUUCCGUAGGUGAACCUGCGGAAGGAUCAUUAUCGAAUUACUCGAGGGUUGUUGCUGGAAUCCCUAACCGGGAUUCAAAGUGCACGCCCUUGUCUACAUUCUCAAACCCCUGUGCACUUAUUGUAGGCUCGGUGGAAAGGCUGACUUCACGGUUGGCCUGAAAGCCUUGCCUAUGCUUUAACACACGCUUCAGUCUAUGAAUGUCAUUUUGCGGAUAACGCAUUUAAAUACAACUUUCAACAACGGAUCUCUUGGCUCUCGCAUCGAUGAAGAACGCAGCGAAAUGCGAUAAGUAAUGUGAAUUGCAGAAUUCAGUGAAUCAUCGAAUCUUUGAACGCACCUUGCGCUCCUUGGUAUUCCGAGGAGCAUGCCUGUUUGAGUGUCAUGGAAUUCUCAACCUUCAACACUUUUGUGAAGAAGGCUUGGACUUGGAGGCCGUGUUGGCUGGCAACAGUCGACUCCUCUGAAAUGUAUUAGUUGCGAACCUUACGGAUCGCUUCGGUGUGAUAAUUGUCUACGCCGUGGUGUUGAAGUAUAGCAGUGUUCGAGCUUCUAACAGUCCGCAAGGACAAUUUUUUGACAAUCUGACCUCAAAUCAGGUAGGACUACCCGCUGAACUUAAGCAUAU